Molecule: ribosomal RNA, 247 nt
Filed under: uncultured Azonexus sp.
Lineage: Bacteria; Pseudomonadati; Pseudomonadota; Betaproteobacteria; Rhodocyclales; Azonexaceae
Description: partial 16S ribosomal RNA
Rfam family: Bacterial small subunit ribosomal RNA
Source: RNAcentral
GUAGGGUGCGAGCGUUAAUCGGAAUUACUGGGCGUAAAGCGUGCGCAGGCGGUUUUUUAAGACAGGCGUGAAAUCCCCGGGCUUAACCUGGGAACUGCGCUUGUGACUGGAAGACUAGAGUAUGGCAGAGGGGGGUGGAAUUCCACGUGUAGCAGUGAAAUGCGUAGAGAUGUGGAGGAACACCGAUGGCGAAGGCAGCCCCCUGGGCCAAUACUGACGCUCAUGCACGAAAGCGUGGGGAGCAAAC